RNAcentral lists this ribosomal RNA (406 nucleotides) under uncultured bacterium. RNAcentral's name for it is "bacterial SSU rRNA". It matches the Rfam family "Bacterial small subunit ribosomal RNA", at positions 354 to 777 of the family's 1533-position model. The record is from RNAcentral.
GUGGGGGAUAUUGCACAAUGGGGGAAACCCUGAUGCAGCAACGCCGCGUGAGGGAAGAAGGUCUUCGGAUUGUAAACCUCUGUCCUAUGGGACGAUAAUGACGGUACCAUAGGAGGAAGCUCCGGCUAACUACGUGCCAGCAGCCGCGGUAAUACGUAGGGAGCGAGCGUUGUCCGGAAUUACUGGGUGUAAAGGGUGCGUAGGCGGCUUUGCAAGUCAGGCGUGAAAUCUAUGGGCUUAACCCAUAAACUGCGCUUGAAACUGUAGGGCUUGAGUGAAGUAGAGGCAGGCGGAAUUCCCGGUGUAGCGGUGAAAUGCGUAGAGAUCGGGAGGAACACCAGUGGCGAAGGCGGCCUGCUGGGCUUUAACUGACGCUGAGGCACGAAAGCGUGGGUAGCAAACAGGA